This 115-nucleotide ribosomal RNA is filed under the name Periophthalmus magnuspinnatus. The record is from RNAcentral. Lineage: Eukaryota; Metazoa; Chordata; Actinopteri; Gobiiformes; Gobiidae.
UGUGACCUUACCACCUUGUCAAUGCCUUGAUCUCAUCUGAUCUCGGAAGCUAAGCAGGGUUAGGCUAGUUAGGACUUGGAUGGGAGACUGCUGAGAGUACAAGGUGCCAAAAUAG